GCCCACGGACUCUCCGGCCCCGGGGGAGGAGCCGAUGGCCGCUAGACCCGGGAGGCCACAGGCGGCCCUGGGCGGUUCACUCCGCCGCCCCCUGGCUGCGGCAGCCGAGGGUCCCCGGGUCCCCGAGGCCCGGUCGGGGCGGAAGGAGCCUUGGAAGUUUCUGACCUAUAAACAUGGGGCGCUGCCCCUCCGGAUUCCACGAGCGCGGGGGCGGCGGUGGGGGCUGAGCUUUUAGAGCCAGCCUGGGGGGUUUCAAAUGCGUCCCGUCGCCGUGGCAUGUCCCACUUUUCAGGGAAAUCCUGACAGUUUGGGGCCAGCUCCUCCUGCCUCAGGAUAUAAAUCACCAAGAAUAAAAGACCAAACUCAAGCUGGCCGCCUUCUCCCACGAAGGGACCCCGGCCUCCAGAGCCUGGGGAGGGGCCGAGCCAGCGGCCUCUCCUCGCAGGAGGAUCUGACAGAUGGGAUUUUUUUUUUUCUGGGUCCCUCUUCCUCUCCGGGGAGCGGGCAGCCUAGAAAAUUCUGCAGGUUUGGGGCAGGGCUGAAAUAAUAAAUCCUGGGUUUUAAGCCAUUACGUUUCCCCGGGGAUUUCUUCACCCGAUCAGCCGCAGGGAGGGCCUUUUCGGACGCGAUGGCCAGGGCGGUUCGGGGAGCAGAAAGCUGCCUCCCGCAGUGCCACCCGGAGGGCGGCGUGGAGGAGGGCACGGCCUCUCGGCAGAGCGGGGAAGGCGCCGUGGCCGGUGCCCCCGGGCUCCCUCCCUCCCUCCCGGGCCCGGGGCGCGUGGGGUGGGGUGGGGUGGGGUGGGGCGGGGGACACACGACACACAUCGCGCGGUCCAAACCUUCGGAGGGCAUUCGGUGCGACGGCACCCCCACGCCGCGGCCGGCCGGAGGGGGUCUCAGACAACGCGUGUGCAGAUUCAGUGCAAGGACCGGUAAGGCUUCUGCCCGGAGCAGCACUGGGCCUGGCACCCGCCCUGGCCGCCUUCGGGUCGCUGCCGCCUCACGCCCAGGUGACCGCACGCUGUCUUCGCUCUCCCGCCGCCUGGGGGCGCCCACAGGGCGUGAGAGCCGCUGUCCUCCCCUAACGCCUGAGCGCCUCAAGUGCCCUGCACCUCACAUCCUAGACCCACGCCCCGCUCUGCCCGCGGAACAGCUAAACGGCCGCAGCACGGGCGCCGGAAGGCAGGCAGGCUAGCCAGCGCGCCCAGGCCAGCGCGGCCUCGUCGGAAAGGGACGCAAGCCAGGACUGGCUUCCCAGGGCGGUCAGUUCACGCUCCUGCCUCCUGCCUGCUCAUUUAUGUUCACUGCUAUGGUGGUGCUGGUGCAGUGAGGGUGCUGGCGCUGUGAGGGUGCUGGCGCUGUGAGGGCGCUGUGCGGGUGCUGGAGCUGUGAGGGUGCUGGAGCUGUGCGGGUGCUGUGAGGGUGCUGGUGCUGUGCGGGUGCUGUGAGGGUGCUGGAGCUGUGAGGGUGCUGGAGCUGUGCGGGUGCUGUGAGGGUGCUGUGAGGGUGCUGGCGCUGUGCAGGUGCUGGCGCUGUGAGGGUGCUGGUGCUGUGCGGGUGCUGGAGGGUGCUGGUGCUGUGCAGGUGCUGUGAGGGUGCUGGCGCUGUGCGGGUGCUGUGAGGGUGCUGGAGCUGUGAGGGUGCUGGCGCUGUGCGGGUGCUGGAGGGUGCUGGAGCUGUGCAGGUGCUGUGAGGGUGCUGGCGCUGUGCGGGUGCUGUGAGGGUGCUGGAGCUGUGAGGGUGCUGGCGCUGUGUGGGUGCUGGAGGGUGCUGGUGCUUGUGCGGGUGCUGUGAGGGUGCUGGCGCUGUGCGGGCGCUGUGAGGGUGCUGGAGCUGUGAGGGUGCUGGCGCUGUGCAGGUGCUGGAGGGUGCUGGUGCUGUGCAGGUGCUGUGCGGGUGCUGUGAGGGUGCUGGCGCUGUGCUGGCGCUGUGCGGGUGCUGUGAGGGUGCUGGCGCUGAACUGCUGACGAUGGUGAUGAUGAUGAUGAUGACGACACUGCUGCCACCGCUGCCGCGCCUCGCCCUCCCGCACGUCCCUGUCUCUCCUCGCUGACCUUGGACAGACCCCCGCUCCGUCCUUCCAGCCCACCGAUUCUACGGACACCCCCACCGCAGCCUCGGGGCCACCCUGGACCACGGUCGUAACAGCCCCACCCUGGCCCCCGGCAGGGUCCGCUUACGUGGUCAGCACCGCAGCCGCCCGGGCACCCCAACGUGGGGGGUCUCCAGCCUCGCUGGCCCGGAGGCUCUGCAGCAGUCCCCUCCCUGCCCCCACGUGGCCUGCCCCGCCCCUCAGCGGCUCCCCCCCAAGUCUCCCGGAGCCCCCACCCUCCGAUCUGAGCCAGGCCUUCAGCGCCUCCUUUGACGUCUUGCCACCACCCAUCCCACUCAAGCAGGUGCUCACAGCUGCCCCGUCUGUGUCUGCGCCCACCCCACCCCCGGCGGCAGGCUGCUCUCCAGGCCUGCCCCUCUGGCCCCCGCAGGCCACGUGCCUCACACCCACCGUCCGUACCCCUCCCCUGCAGCCUCUCCCUCCUCGUGGACUCCGCCCAUUUAUUCAUCCGUGACAAAUGUUUGUUGAGCACCUACUAUGCAGCCAGGGAGGAAGUAGAGCAGGAAACAGAACAGAUAAAGCUCCCGAGGGGUUGACAUCAUGCUGGAGGGAGAUGGACAAUUUAAAGGGACGCCACCCGCUUCUCUUGCACCUCUGCCGCCUUCUCGGCUGCUUUGGAAGUUACACUUCUUCAGAUGGUCCCGGAAAUGUCGUCUCAGUGUUUUCUCCCCACCCUCCAACUUAUUUUACCUGGAGUAUAAUACAUGCACAGAGAAGUGCACAAAACUUAAAGGCUCAGCUCAAGGGACUGUCACGGGCAAACAUUCGUGUACCUACCACCCAAGUCAGGAAAGAGGAUGUGACCAGCCCGCAGGGCCCCCCUCACUGUCCAUUCUCUCCACUGUGGGCCACCACCCAAAGGCAAGCCCAACUUUACUUCCAGCAUUGGAGUUUCGUGUCUGGAGACGUUCUACAAAGAGGAUCAUGAGACAUGAAUGGUUGCGUAUCUAGUUUCUUUUGCUCAUCAGUACACUUCUGAGAUUCACUUGUGUUUAUAUGUAUGUAGCUGUGAUUUAUUCAUUUUUCAUUGUUGUGUAAUAUUCCAUUGUAGAAAUAUACCACAAUUUAUCUCUUCUACUGUGGGACAUUUAGGUUUUCAGUUUAGCGGUUAUUACUAUGUCUCAGCACACACGUGAACACACUUCUGUUGGGUACCUACAUUCCUCGGGGAACGGACAGGCAAUCAGGUGUAUGUAGCGCCUACGUGUGUUUUACUUUGGUACCUGAUGUUAUGCAGCCACCAAAGAGGACAUGUAGGAGAGUCCCUCUUUCUGCGCCAGCUUCGUGUAGGUGACCUUACUGCUCGUGGCUGUAGCCGUGUGCUGUGUCCCCGCCGCGCAGCACACUUCUUCAUUCCCUCUCCUGGUGAUCGGGGCUCACCUCGGCAGCCGAUCACCAAGUCCCCUCUGUCCCUCAGACAGAGCUCUUAGACCCUCCCCUCCUCACGCCAGCCUCUCUGCCCUGCUGGGAUCCAGGCCUCCACCCUCCCUCGUGUGGGCUGCAAGCCGAGCCGGCCGUGUUCACUAGCCCGCGUAAGAUGUCCAAGGCCCCGGCAUCCACGUGCUAAAGCGUAAAUUCCAAGGCCUUCAGACUCUGGCCCAAAACGCAUCUCCAGCCAAUUCCCUGGGAGCCCUGUUUGCUCUUCCCUGAACUUUUGCAAGCUCCCAAGCAAGGAAGGCCCCUUGCUCCACCAGCAUCCGCCCAGAUGCCACCUUGAAUGACCGCAGCAGCCCCCGCUUAUCAGGUGGCCGUGGUGGUGGCCGGUCGCGUGGCCCCCACCUGUCUUGCUUCGUGUCUCCUUCGGCGCAUGUGGCGGAUUUGCGCUUCCCCAUCCCUUUGGAAGUCAGUGCAGUCGUGAGACUUGCUUUGGACAAUGAAAUGAGGGAAGCAUCUAGGAUCUCUGCCGAGUGGGAGCUUUCAGAGGCUGUGUGUAACUUGCCAGACUUUUUUUCUCCCGACUCGGGGUAAAGGAAGCACCCCUCGAGAUACCACCUCCGUCAGCCAAGGUUCCCAAGU
This 4129-nucleotide long non-coding RNA is filed under the name Dasypus novemcinctus (nine-banded armadillo). RNAcentral's name for it is "lncRNA (ENSDNOG00000051605.1)". The record is from RNAcentral. Lineage: Eukaryota; Metazoa; Chordata; Mammalia; Cingulata; Dasypodidae.